UUAGCUCAUAUUUGUAUGGAAUGGGAUCGUUUGCGUACGUUUGCCGCUAGGGGCGCUGUUCCAAUUGCAUACAAAAAUAGGUUA
Molecule: microRNA precursor, 84 nt
Filed under: Bombyx mori (domestic silkworm)
Lineage: Eukaryota; Metazoa; Arthropoda; Insecta; Lepidoptera; Bombycidae
Description: mir-2807 microRNA precursor family
Rfam family: mir-2807 microRNA precursor family
Source: Rfam by way of RNAcentral